RNAcentral lists this long non-coding RNA (3233 nucleotides) under Phaseolus vulgaris (common bean). RNAcentral's name for it is "long non-coding RNA (PVUL_LNC004490)". The record is from RNAcentral. Lineage: Eukaryota; Viridiplantae; Streptophyta; Magnoliopsida; Fabales; Fabaceae.
UAGAUCCCCGAUGCAUAGAGUCUACGUCUUGGAAAAACAUUUUUUCUGUAAGCUUCUGGUGUGUUUUGUCCUUGUUUGGAUUUUUUUACUACUUGACGUGCUUUGUUUCAUUGAUUAUGAGGAAAAAAUCAUAUUCAAACUAAAAUAAUCAUGGAUGUCGCUAUAAGGUAUGUGAUUCAGUGAUUUCAAUUUGCUUGAAAAAAAAAACAGAAAUUGUUUGAGUUUUUUUCUGACUCUGUUUGGACUUUGGUUGAAUUAGAGUGGAUGUUAUGGAUGCAAAGUUUAAGGUCAUGCAUUUUAUUGUGGUGCUUGUGCUUAUCCUAAUUCAUGUUAUUUCAGAUUGUUUGAUACUUUUUGUUGGAAUGGAAGGUUUAAGUUUAUGAAGCAAUUUUUAUGGGUGAACUUCUAGGAUAUGAAGCAGGGAUGAAAGGCUUGAUGGGGGUUGUGAGUCUCAGGGUCAUCAGUUUUUAGACUAGACAUUCUUAAUUUAAAUUUGCAUAUUAGCUCUGUCAAAUGUUUCUCUGUUUUCCUUGAGGUUGAUUUGAAUGUUUAAUGCACAAGGCAACGGGACUUUCAUAUAUAAAAAUUCAAGAUUGCUUUGAUUUCUAUUGGAUGUAGCAAUAUUUUUUUAAAUGAUGUGAAUUCAAUGCUUUGAUUUCUAUUGGGUGUAGCAAUAUUUUUUCAAAUGAUGUGAAUUCAAUGCUUUGAUUUCUAUUGGAUGUAGCAAUAUUUUUUCAAAUGAUGUGAAAAGUAUAAGUAAUUCCAUGCUGACAGUGUCACCAGAUUCUAAUAGUAAUCUAAGGAAGCUCUGAUAUAGGAAAUCCAGGUAAUUUGUAUUAUUUGUGAUGAAACAGCAGCCUCAAUGAUGUCUAUUGUGAGAAAUUUAAAAUGUAAUUGAAAGUCUAGAGAUUCAUUUAGUCUAUGAUUAUUGUCACUUAUGUUGCAUUGAUUUUUUUUUAUUUUUUUUUGUUUCGUUCUUCAUAGUUAUCUUGCACAAACUGCAAACACUUGGAAAAAAAUAUGAAUGCCAAGUUAACCUAAAUAUUAUUCUGAUUUACAUUGGUUCACAGACAUUAAUUCUUGCUAUUUAAAAUUUUGAAAUGCAGAUGACAUAAUUUAUACUGUGUAUGUAAAUGCUGAAAAAAAAUGCAUCCUUACAUACAUUUGAAAUCACUGAAUGAAAAUCAGAAUUUAAGUUCAACCCUUCUAUCAAUAAUAGAAGUCAAGGAUAGAGAGCAGAGAGCAUGUUAUAGAAAUCUUGGCUUUGCUGGAAAAUGCCAGAAUAGAUGUUUGACUGGGUAUUGUCCAGAGACAAUACAGAGAGAACUGAGCAGAGCAUGUUGCAGAGGUGAGUAUGAAUAUGCUUUGAACCUUUCCCUUCAAAGUUAGGGGAUAAAAAACUGUGUCUGCAGUUUGGUAGAGAUGAUAAAAAUUUGAGGAAAAGGAAGAAAAGGGAGGAGAGAGAGGACAGAGAAGUAGGAAAUAAGUUAAAAGAAAAGCUGUUUGAUGGAAAAACAACAGUAAAAAGUAAAAGAUUAUUUUUUAAUUAUUUUAUUAUUAUUAUUAUUAUAAAAGAAUGUCUACAUUAUUUAUGGGUCUCAUAAUGAAUUAUGGGUACAAACGUACUUAAAAAAGUAUAUAUUAUUUUAUAAGUAUACUUGAAACAUAAGCUAUUCAGAACAUUUCUUUCCUAUAUUUGCAAGGUAUUCCCCCUCUUUCUUUAGAUAUUUAUUUAUUCAUCAUUGAACCAUCCAAAACUCCACAAAUCUCUUUCUCUGCAAAUCUGCCCCUCCUUCUCCACCAUCAACCAAACUCAGUGAUAAUGAUGUUUACUGCAGUGAGAUUGGAUCGGAUUACCACUGCAGUGAUCGUGACUGUUGCAUUGCCAUACUGCCAUGGCAAUGCUCAUUAUUUUCUGUGGCUUUAAAUGGUGUGACGCAAUACCAUGACCGUUAUGAUCAAGCACUAUUGACAUGUGUUAUGUAAAUGACCUAUUGAUAUUUGUUGCAUGUAAGAAUAGUGGAUUCUUGUACUUUUAAGUAUCUGGUAAAGAGACAAGAAAACUAUUGAUUCAAUUCAAAAAGAAGAAAAAUAUAUAUUUUUAAAUUUAGGAAAAUAAAAUAUACUAUUUAACAUAUCUUUUCAAAUUAAAUAAUUAAAUGAAAGAUGGCAAAAGAAAAAUAAAAUUAGAGCACUUGGACAGAAAGUUUGGGUCUACAAAUUUAGUGAGAAAUAAAAUAUAUUUACAUUCACUCUUAAAAUAAAAUAUAAUAUAUUCAAGUAGAGUUGUUUGAAAGAUAUAUAAUGCACUUCCUAAAACAAGUAUGCAUAUUUUUAGUAUCAUUAUUAUUUUAUUUGCUAUAACUAUUAAAAAAGCAUUUGAGUUUUUAUUUUUUUUGGAAUGUAACAAUAUUACUAUUUUUACCAAAUUAAUAGUAAAAUUGUUAAAAAAUAUUAUGGUUUCAUUUUAAUUUAUGCAUAAUUUAUAAAACUGUGUCAUUUUCAGGCUUUUAAAAGGUUAACAUAGCAGUUGUUUUCUUAAAAAUAAAAUGAAUAAAUAUGAGGUCAGGCAAUUGUAAUUGAUGAGAAGAGACAACAAGGUGGAGUUUAGGGUUUGUACUUGUUCCUGAUGGUUGGUGUCAUGGAAGCAUAGAAGCGACUAAUCAAAUAUGGGUACACUCUGUAAUGAUUUUUAGAAGAAGGUUAUUUAUAAUUUUUAAAUGAAAUUUCUUGCUUCUUAUGUUACUUCUCAUGACACAAACAUUAACUCAUUGUUCCUACUCUCAUAACUUUUUUCGAAUUUUUAAUUGUAAUAUAUUUUUGAAUGGUAUAAUCUAAAAACUUUACUCACCACUCAUUACAGAGUCUUCUUGAUGAAUCGACAAAUAAAAGAACCUCAAAAUAUAAUGAUAAAAACUUGAAAUACUUAAUAGAAUACAAUGGUGGUGAAUAUAGAGGAAGAUGACAAAAAUAGUUACGCAAUGCUCUUAUAAUGAUAAAAAAUCUAAGUGAGAAUGAAAAUAAGUUAAGAACACAAAAGAGUAUCUUUACCAUUUCUCAGAAUCCAUAAAAGUACAAAUAGAAAGCAUAGAAAAGAACAAAUAGAAAGCACUAGAAUGUAAGAAGUAAAAACUUUACAUGUUCAAAUCAAUCUGUUUAAAAUAAAUGUAUGUUUUUUUUUAUCAACAAUAAAAUAAAUAAAUAAAUAGGAAUCACUUCAGGGGUGAUCCAAU